AACAGUUAGAAAUGACUGCUAAUACCGGAUGAUGUCUUCGGACCAAAGAUUUUAUCGGCAAAGGAUGAGCCCGCGUAGGAUUUAGGUAGUUGUGGGGUAAAGGCCUACCAAGCCGACGAUCCUUAGCUGGUCUGAGAGGAUGAUCAGCCACACUGGGACUGAGACACGGCCCAGACUCCUACGGGAGGCAGCAGUGGGGAAUAUUGGACAAUGGGCGCAAGCCUGAUCCAGCAAUGCCGCGUGAGUGAUGAAGGCCUUCGGGUCGUAAAGCUCUUUUACCAGGGAUGAUAAUGACAGUACCUGGAGAAUAAGCUCCGGCUAACUCCGUG
RNAcentral lists this ribosomal RNA (329 nucleotides) under uncultured bacterium. Its description in RNAcentral is "bacterial SSU rRNA". It matches the Rfam family "Bacterial small subunit ribosomal RNA", at positions 145 to 507 of the family's 1533-position model. The record is from RNAcentral.